This 492-nucleotide ribosomal RNA is filed under the name uncultured bacterium. Its description in RNAcentral is "partial 16S ribosomal RNA". It matches the Rfam family "Bacterial small subunit ribosomal RNA", at positions 29 to 507 of the family's 1533-position model. The record is from RNAcentral.
AGUGAACGCUGGCGGCAGGCCUAACACAUGCAAGUCGAACGGAAGCACAGUAAGAGCUUGCCCUUACGGGUGGCGAGUGGCGGACGGGUGAGGCAUACAUCGGAAUCUACUUUUUCGUGGGGGAUAACGUAGGGAAAGUUACGCUAAUACCGCAUACGACCUACGGGUGAAAGCAGGGGUUCUUGGCAGUUUGCGCGACUGAAUUAGCCGAUGUCGGAUUAGCUAGUUGGCGGGGUAAAGGCCCACCAAGGCGACGAUCCGUAGCUGGUCUGAGAGGAUGAUCAGCCACACUGGAACUGAGACACGGUCCAGACUCCUACGGGAGGCAGCAGUAGGGAAUAUUGCACAAUGGGCGCAAGCCUGAUCCAGCCAUACCGCGUGGGUGAAGAAGGCCUUCGGGUUGUAAAGCCCUUUUAUUGGGAAAGAAAAGCAGCAGGUGAAUACCCCGCUGUUCUGACGGUACCCAAAGAAUAAGCACCGGCUAACUUCGUG